This 1556-nucleotide long non-coding RNA is filed under the name Gouania willdenowi (blunt-snouted clingfish). Its description in RNAcentral is "lncRNA (ENSGWIG00000009493.1)". The record is from RNAcentral. Lineage: Eukaryota; Metazoa; Chordata; Actinopteri; Blenniiformes; Gobiesocidae.
AUGUCCACUCACUUACCUUUACCCCUUUCAGCUGGCUAUGGCGGCUAUGGUGGGGGCACUGGGGGCUUUUUCCCAGGAGCUGGACAGAAAGCUUCCAAAAGAGGUGCAGGAGGUCCUCUGUUCCCACUCGGAGGAGCUGGUGUUGGAGGAGCAGGAGUUAGGCCUGGAGGAGCUGGAACAGGAUUUGGAGGAGCAGGAGUUGGGCCUGGAGGAGCUGGAACAGGAUUUGGAGGAGCGGGAGUUAGGCCUGGAGGAGCUGGAACAGGAUUUGGAGGAGCGGGAGUUGGGCCUGGAGGAGCUGGAACAGGAUUUGGAGGAGCGGGAGUUAGGCCUGGAGGAGCUGGAACAGGAUUUGGAGGAGCGGGAGUUGGGCCUGGAGGAGCUGGAACAGGAUUUGGAGGAGCAGGAGUUAGGCCUGGAGGAGCUGGAACAGGAUUUGGAGGAGCAGGAGUUAGGCCUGGAGGAGCUGGAACAGGAUUUGGAGGAGCAGGAGUUGGGCCUGGAGGAGCUGGAACAGGAUUUGGAGGAGCAGGAGUUGGGCCUGGAGGAGCGGGAACAGGAUUUGGAGGAGCAGGAGUUGGGCCUGGAGGAGCUGGAACAGGAUUUGGAGGAGCAGGAGUUGGGCCUGGAGGAGCUGGAACAGGAGCUGCAGUGCCUGCUGGAGUUCCUGUUUUUCCUCAGACAGGCCUUCCAGGAGGCCCUGGUGGUGCUGCAGGAAAGAAAGCAUCUAAAAUUCCAGGUGUCGGUGUGCCUGGACUUUACCAAGGUGGAGUGGUACCAGGAAUAGGGUUUGGUGGACGUGGAGUCCUGCCUGGGGUGCCAACUGGGACCGGCCUAAAUCCCAAAUCAAUUGGAGGAGGAGGAGGAGGAGGUCAGGGAGGUCAAGGCCCAGGAGGACGGGGAUACGGAGGGCAGAUGCAGCCAGGAGUCUUUCAUGGAUACCCCCUAAUAUCCCCCAAAGCAGGAGGUCUUGCAGCAAAAGCUGCAGCUGGUAAACUCCCCUACGGUUAUGGAGGCUUCGGUGCUGGUGGACCUGGACUUCCAGGAGGACAAGGUGGCGUUGGGUCAAGGCCUGGAUAUCCUGUUGGAACCGGAGUUGGACCUGGGGGCAUCUCCCCUGCUCAGGCCAAAGCAGCUAAAUAUGGUGGCUAUGGUGGUGCUGGAGGGGCUGGUGGUAUUGGAGGAGCCACGGGUGUUGGAGGUGGUGGUUUUGGAGGAGCUGGUGGUUUUGGAGGAGCCACGGGUGUUGGAGGUGGUGGUUUUGGAGGAGCUGGUGGUAUUGGAGGAGCCACGGGUGUUGGAGGUGGUGGUUUUGGAGGAGCUGGUGGUAUUGGAGGAGCCACGGGUGUUGGAGGUGGUGGUUUUGGAGGAGCCACGGGUGUUGGAGGUGGUGGUUUUGGAGGAGCUGGCGGUGUUGGAGGAGCUGGUGGACUGUUUCCAGGACAGGUGCCAGGAGGGUAUGGAGGAGCCGCUUCCAAGGCAGCUAAAUAUGGUGAGAGCUUUUUUACUUUUUUUGUGUCCUAAAAAAUAAAAAUAAAGGGGGGGGGCUGAGAUCA